UGCGUAGGCGGAAUUUUAAGUCAGUGGUGAAAUCCUGUAGCUCAACUGUAGAACUGCCAUUGAUACUGAUCUUCUUGAAUUUAGUUGAGGUGGGCGGAACGUGUAAUGUAGCGGUGAAAUGCUUAGAUAUUACACAGAACACCGAUUGCGAAGGCAGCUCACUAAACUAACAUUGACGCUGAGGCACGAAAGCGUGGGUAGCGAACAGGAUUAGAUACCCUGGUAGUCC
Molecule: ribosomal RNA, 229 nt
Filed under: uncultured bacterium
Lineage: Bacteria
Description: partial 16S ribosomal RNA
Rfam family: Bacterial small subunit ribosomal RNA
Source: RNAcentral